This 2519-nucleotide long non-coding RNA is filed under the name Eucalyptus grandis. Its description in RNAcentral is "long non-coding RNA (EGRA_LNC000065)". Lineage: Eukaryota; Viridiplantae; Streptophyta; Magnoliopsida; Myrtales; Myrtaceae. The record is from RNAcentral.
AUAUUUACAUCAGGUGAUGAGAAAUACAUCCAAAAAGAACCCUAACUCAAAGAACUUCCAAAAAGAUACUUAUCUCCCUAACCUGUCCCGACUAAUUCCUUGCCAUCAUCCAUCCAUCCAUCCAUCUAACCCGACUACACGGUCCAUCAUCCCCAAAAUGUUUCCGAUCACAUCAAACAACAAGCAUGACCCCUCCAUCUCUCUCCAUCAUCCACCACCUACCACCUACUCCUCCACAUCGCUCCCAUCACCUGCACCCGGGGUAUGAGGAAAUGAGAUCAGCUCUACCAGACGACCAUCCACUAGCACAAAAACGGCCAUGAAAUGGUACGAGAUCAAGUCAAGCUGUCCUAUAUCUACCAACAACACAGCUGUGUAGCGUACAAACAUAUUGCUUGGCGGUGAAUAGAUGGUGUUCACCCUCUAGAACUAUGGGAGCUCCAUAGCGGGAAAUGGGUGAUGCGGGAAUAGGCGGCGUAGCUAACAAUCUGAAAUGGUAACAACAAGAUUGAGCUAAUGCUUAGCAGAAGAAACAAUAAACUCAUAAACCAUUCAAUCUAAUUGACUCUCGAAUCCUAGGACACAACUAACACUCAAGCGAGCAAGCACACGAGAUACCUCAAGCCAUUUUCCAUCACAUGAGUAAUGGCAGCAUGCAUUCAAUGCAGCACGCGUUAUGUUCAAUCACACGGCUCACAAUACUAUACAACGAAUGCACCACUCUUCACACUUUUCAUACACAAUGUCACUAGGGUUUGACCCCGUUUUAACUACUCUACCAAUCCAUACGAGCAGCUCUAGCAGUGACUUCUGGCUCACAAACCAAGCAUCCACGGCUCCUUUGCCACAGGCAUUUCUACUAUGGGACAUCUUGGUUUUUAGCCAAGACAUUCACCUCCGACAUCCACUCUGGGCCUUCAUCAAGCUUUUGAGUUGAACGACUUCUAGGGUUUGUUAUCACUAGCCCAGGCAUCCCUACUAACAUUCAGGGUAUCUUGAUUAUUAGCCAAGGCAUACACCUCCAACAUCCACUCCGGGCCAUCGUCGGACAUCCAAGGUCCAUCGGCCUUCGGCAUCACAUAUACCAAUCCCAUCAAAUGCAUCGCAAGCACCUCACACAUAUGUAAUGUCAUGGAAAUCAUACACCAUGGACCGUACCCCAUGCGAUGCACCGAAUGAACUUUAAGUCACCACAACCAAUUGUCGACACAAAGACACACCUAAAACAAAGCACACUGAAAUUCCAGAUUCUGUCCUCACGAUUGUAACUCAAUGUCCACAAACAAAUGGCCUUAGAUUAAAACCAAAUAUACACCGGUGGGUAGCUAAAUAAAUUUAGUUUCUAUCAUCAGCAAACCAUAAUUUAGGAUUCCAUCAUCUUCCUAUGGAAUUUAACUAAAUUCAGACCAAAGAACAGAACUUACCAGAAUUGCUCAAUCGCGGAUUUCAAAGCCAAAACCAUAGUAAAUGAACUUGAAAAAUUCUAAAAUUUUAUUAUGUCGUAGAGAAGACCUUAAAAAAAAUUAUGAAGAAGACUAAGUCUAAAGCAGUCUGUAUAAAGAGCAGCAAAUGACAUAGAUUCACGCAAGAUCUGAUACGCUGGAAUAGAGCAACCAGUCCUCAAAUUAUACUCAUCUCGCAACCCUAAACAUGUCAAAAAAUUUCAAAUUUUGGAUAUGCUAUAAAUUAGAAUAUCCUCUACAACUUUUAUGAAGGACGUAAGUCCAAAAUCUAAAAGGAAAAUUUUAUAAAAAUUCAGAAAGACAAUUGGUUCACUGUUCCUACUGCACUGGACAGAUCAAGCAUGGUAAAAGAAUAGGCCAUCGUACCAUCCAUAUCAUCUCAGAAAACUCCAAAAUUAAAGCAUGUUAAACUUCAAGACAUCUUGUACAACUUUCAAGGAGGAAGUUUCUUCAAUUUCAAACCACACAAAGCUCCAUAGAAUUAGCAACCCAGCAAGGUCUAGUGACUCUAGUUUGUGAAAAUCCAAACUAAGGCUCUAAAUGAUUUGUGAAUUCAAGCCACACGAGUUCACAGCCCAAGAAUACUCCAAGAUCAAACAUUUUAGACCACAUGCAACAUAUAUCUUCAACCAUAGAUCAGAACUCACAUGCAACACAAUUCGGGCCACAAGAACAACAUGCAUGUCCAUCUUUCGACCAAAUUCCACUACCACAACAUCUUAGCAACCAUUUCUUACCAUCACAGCACACAUGCAAUGCCAUAAACACAAACAAACAUCAAGAACAACAACAAUCCUCCCUAUUCUACAAAAUCAAGCUCCAAGAAGAUCAAAGGAUUUAGGAGAAUGCUGUUUUUCCUUGCCUUGGUGAAUCUACACUUCGGUUUCCUCCUCUAAGCUUCACCAUGAGUUUGUAGAGGUCUUGGGCUUGCUAGUUAGCUUUGGUGAGAAGAAAGGAAUGAGAAAGAGAGGGAAAGAGCUCGCGGGUGAGAGGAAAAAUGAGAGAGAGAGAGAGAGAGAGAGAGAGAGAGAGAGAGAGAGAGAGUUUGCUUCGGCG